This is a long non-coding RNA of Equus asinus (donkey), 1012 nucleotides long. NCBI's taxonomy places the organism in Eukaryota, Metazoa, Chordata, Mammalia, Perissodactyla, Equidae. The record is from Ensembl.
CGGGGACAAUGCUGGGGCCUGAGCGGGCUCCAGGGCUCCAGGAGGAUCUGGAGCAGGGGAUGGCUCUCCCUGCUCCCUGGCGACAGCUUCAGCCUGCCCCAGGGCACUGGCAGGAGCCGGAGCAGGGGAUGGCUCUCCCUGCUCAGCUGGUUCCAUGAGAGCCGGCUGCAUGGCUCCUGCCCGAGCCUGAGGAGGGGCUGGCUCUCCCUGCUCCCGUCCUGGGGCGCCGCUUGUCUCCUGCCCUUGUGCAGGAGCUGCUGGAUGUGAUUGUGCUCCCCGCACACGGGCUGGGGCCUGUGCUGGCUCUGAUCCUUGUCCAACAGUCCCUGAGGACGGCAGCCUUUUCCCCACGCCUGCCACUACGCUGUUCCUGCCCAGCUUCUCCUCCCUCGGGGAGCUGGACUCCGUGUCCCGAGUGGACCUCUGCAAAGACAGUGACCAACAGUCAGCCCAGAAGCAUCAGAGCCCUGCUCAGCUGCCCCUGCUCUUUCUUCUGCCCUCUGCCCCUAAUGCUCCCACAUCAGGCACCACCCUGUGUCUGUGCAGAAUUCUCCCCGGGAUGAAACAGAUAGACCUCAGGGGCUCGGGAGAAACCUCGGGCAGACGGUGCUUCCCGGCACUCCACGUCCCACCCGAUCAGCCAUGAACUGGGGUGGGAAUGGGCCCGGCCCACCAGGCUUCUAACCCCUCAUCAGCCUGCUCCUCCUCGCGGUGGUCCACUCACACAAACCACCCUUCCACACACACACACACACAUGCACACACACACUAACACACACACACACACACACACACACACACCCCCAGGGAGGGGACGUAGGGCUGUCCAAGUGGGACCACAGUGGUGGCCUGGCCUGGAUUGGCCCACCCCGGGCGUCCCUGUGUUACCUUUGUGUCCCUCCGCACGAACGUCCAGAGACGUCUUGAGCGGGACAGGAGCCCGCCUUUGCGUCCAGGGCACUCCUUGCGGGCUCUGCUGAGGCUGCGGCCCCGGCAGAUAGGCAGACAGCAG